GUCCACGCCGUAAACGAUGAGUACUAAGUGUCGGAAGAAUUCGGUGCUGUAGUUAACGCAAUAAGUACUCCGCCUGAGUAGUACGUGCGCAAGCAUGAAACUCAAAGGAAUUGACGGGACCCCGCACAAGCGGUGGAUCAUGUUGUUUAAUUCGAAGAUACGCGAAGAACCUUACCAGGUCUUGACAUCCCCUGCAAUACUAUAGAGAUAUAGUGGAGGUUACCAGGGUGACAGGUGGUGCAUGGUUGUCGU
This 252-nucleotide ribosomal RNA is filed under the name uncultured bacterium. Its description in RNAcentral is "partial 16S ribosomal RNA". It matches the Rfam family "Bacterial small subunit ribosomal RNA", at positions 793 to 1055 of the family's 1533-position model. The record is from RNAcentral.